Molecule: long non-coding RNA, 2069 nt
Filed under: Homo sapiens (human)
Lineage: Eukaryota; Metazoa; Chordata; Mammalia; Primates; Hominidae
Description: HSALNT0370024
Rfam family: Rhabdomyosarcoma 2 associated transcript conserved region 6 (bases 567-769)
Source: RNAcentral
ACAAGUUUUAGAUUCUCAGGAUGAUGGAGUGAGUGAUGGAAUAGGUUGCCAACUGUAGUUACUCCACUCAGCACAGAAUGGCUGCGGGGAAAUAUAAUCAGACAUGCCCAAAGAAGUCUGCUUAGGGUGAAACAAAUACCUUUGAGGUUUAAAUCAGAAAGGAAGGAGAGACUGUUUCUACAGGUGUCAUACAAAAAUCAAUACUGAGCCAAGGAUUAUUGGAUCCCAUAGAACCACGGAGACUUGGUAGUGAAAUUCUUCCAAAGGCAGAUGGUGUUCCUAGGUUUGGAAAUAUAAAUCCCAUGGGAAGUCAGCUGAAGACCAUUUUAUGCAUCACUCAUCCUGUUAGAGCCCUGUGCUGUUCUGUCUCUCUAUAAGACUGGCUGAAACCACCACGGUUGUUUACAAUUUAUGCUCUAACUUUGGAUCACCUAGUUAAUACUCUAACUCCGAUUAUUACCAAAGACAAUGUUCUAUAAAAGAUAUUGUCUAUUAGAAGGAUGCUUCUGCAUUAUUAAUAAAAUCACAGGGAAAAUGCAACAUUUUGGAUGUCACAUCUGAUAAGUGGGUGACUGAUCGUACCCGCCAGCUGGCUAAUGUCAUAAUUAACAAAGUUGCUACUACAUCUGCAAAGUUUAAUCGAAAAAUUUGCCAGUGAUAUGAUGGCCUUGUCACAGAGAUCACAAGGGACACGGAGUUGACUUUUGCUCAAGGUGGAACGACAGAGCUGUGUAGGCAAGAUGAGAAAUUGCGAACUUGUUCGGCCAAAGGAGGCUAAUAAUGAAGGGGCCGGGAAGGAGGCCAGUGCUACCAGGGUUAUCUCACAACCUCAGAUGCUGGAUAAGUCGACGGAGGCAGAAUCGCUUUGGGAUGACAUUCAGAAAGCCUGGAGUGAUUACUUGCAAGAGAAAAGCCUACCUAUUCUUUCCAAGGUGCAGGAAUAUUCCCCUGACCUGCUCAUCCAGUGGUCCAGUAAUGAAUUACUGGAGACCUGCCUUAGACAAAGAAUGCACUCGGAGCCCCAACACACCUAAAGCCAUGCUUUGAAGGAUCUGCCAAGCUCACUUUUAAUCAUGAGAAAGAAAUUACCCACACGGAGUCAGCAGAAAAUGAGAAAGUAGAGCUCGUGCUGUGAAUAAUUCCAGCAAGUGCCAAGGGGCUAGUUGAGGAAUGGCUUCAUGAGAACAUGCUCUAGGGGAACUAUUAAUAGCCCACCAGUCGGGUAGGCAGCAUUCAAUCCUUCUAUGCCUUCUUUCGCCACCUGUUGAGGUCUUUCUUCUGAAACAAAGAAGAAAUAGACAAAUCAGACUUGCCCUCUUGGAAAUGUGGUCCAGAUUUCUCUACUCCCAAGCUCCAAAAAAGGUAUACAUUGGAUGGGCUAGAUCAACUCCUCCUGAGAGCCAUAAAUCCGCCAAGAGUUGUUUUCCAUGUAAGGGUGUGGUACAAUGGGGAACACCUGAUGUUGGAGGAAAGCAGGAGGACUUUAGAGUGGAGUUGCAUUCUAAUCUCUCUGCCGCUUCAACUAUGUGACCUGGGGCAAAUGAUAUAAACUCUAUGAGCCUCUUUCCUUAUCUUUAAAAUGAAGAGAAGUAAUACCUACCUUGUAGGGCUGUUGUGAGGAUUAAAUGAAGUAAUGCAUACAGUGCCUAACAAAGUAUUUAACAUCAUAUUUUUUAAAAGCUCAUGAAAUAUUAGUUUUUCUUCCUUCCCCUCUUUCUAUUUUCUCUCCUGUUCCCUUUUCUCUCCCUCCUCUGCCCUCUCCUUCCUUCAGAUGUUAGUCUAAAACAGCACCUUGGAUCUAAGCAGCACCUUUGAGAAAGAAAAGACUGCUUCAAGAAUGUCUAGUUGCACCUCCUUUCCGUAUGUGGCCUAAAUGCCUAGGUUGGAUCAAUAGUUUAAUUUUUUUAUUGAACUGUUUAAUAUUGACUAUGGACUUACAUUCACUUUUACUGUUUUCUGUAUAUUUACUUUUGCUUGAAGUGUUUUAAUAUUGACUAUUUACCUCUGCUCAUUUUUAUUGAUUUUCUGUAUUUUUUCAAUGAAAAUUAUAAUAAAAAUUAUUUUUGUUA